RNAcentral lists this ribosomal RNA (511 nucleotides) under uncultured bacterium. RNAcentral describes it as "bacterial SSU rRNA". It matches the Rfam family "Bacterial small subunit ribosomal RNA", at positions 34 to 518 of the family's 1533-position model. The record is from RNAcentral.
CGCUGGCGGCGUGCCUAAUACAUGCAAGUCGAACGGUCUUUCUAUGGAAACUUGCUUCCACUGAAAGAUAGUGGCGAACGGGUGAGUAACACGUGGGUAACCUGCCCAUAAGAGGGGGGAUAACAUCCGGAAACGGGUGCUAAUACCGCAUAGUUUUCUUGAUCGCAUGAUCGGGAAAGGAAAGACGGCCUUUGUGCUGUCGCUUAUGGAUGGACCCGCGGCGUAUUAGUUAGUUGGUGAGGUAACGGCUCACCAAGACGAUGAUACGUAGCCGACCUGAGAGGGUGAUCGGCCACAUUGGGACUGAGACACGGCCCAAACUCCUACGGGAGGCAGCAGUAGGGAAUCUUCCGCAAUGGACGAAAGUCUGACGGAGCAACGCCGCGUGAGUGAAGAAAGGUCUUCGGAUCGUAAAACUCUGUUGUCAGAGAAGAACAAGUUGGAGAGUAACUGCUCCAGCCUUGACGGUAUCUGACCAGAAAGCCACGGCUAACUACGUGCCAGCCGCCGC